UUAACCACGCGGCCCCCUCCACAGGGAUCUCAAUAGAUACUGAUACCUAAAAUUUAAUGCGAAUUCGAAUUCGAACGGAAUGAAUUUAUCUGAUACUAAACGAAUAUGAUUUUGAAUAUAAAUAUUAAAACUAAAAAUCUGACGAAAAUGAAUUCGGAUGUAAAUUUUGUAUGUAUCUGGUUCGUACCCGACCAGAACCUAAAUUCAUUUUACAUUAUAUAUAAUAUGUAUAUAAAAAUUUAAUGUUAUAUUUGAAUUUGUAUAUUAAAAAUUUGAAAUAUUGAAGAGAGAAAUAAUUGCUCUAGUUUAGAUUUUCGCGUUAGGACUUUGAAUUUUUUAUUAGAUUCGAGUUUGGAUAUGGAUUUUUAAAAUCCGUCAGAUUCAUGUUUGAAUUUGAAUUUCGGGUUCAGAUUCGAAUUUUAAAAAAUUCGCCCCGAAACUAACCUGUUGACAUUCAUCCUUUUACUCCCUUUCUUUCUUUCUUUUCAUAUCUUUCUUUCUU
Molecule: long non-coding RNA, 502 nt
Filed under: Ananas comosus (pineapple)
Lineage: Eukaryota; Viridiplantae; Streptophyta; Magnoliopsida; Poales; Bromeliaceae
Description: long non-coding RNA (ACOM_LNC031068)
Source: RNAcentral